GUAUUGGUGGUUCACUGGUAGAAUUCUCACCUUUUAUGUGGGAGAUCCAGGUGUGAUUCCUAGCCAAUGCA
RNAcentral lists this transfer RNA (71 nucleotides) under Loxodonta africana (African savanna elephant). It matches the Rfam family "tRNA". From Rfam's summary of the family: Transfer RNA (tRNA) molecules are approximately 80 nucleotides in length. Their secondary structure includes four short double-helical elements and three loops (D, anti-codon, and T loops). Lineage: Eukaryota; Metazoa; Chordata; Mammalia; Proboscidea; Elephantidae. The record is from Rfam by way of RNAcentral.